Molecule: ribosomal RNA, 301 nt
Filed under: uncultured bacterium
Lineage: Bacteria
Description: partial 16S ribosomal RNA
Rfam family: Bacterial small subunit ribosomal RNA
Source: RNAcentral
CAGCCGCCACGGUAAAACGUAGGGUGCAAGCGUUAAUCGGAAUUACUGGGCGUAAAGCGUGCGCAGGCGGUUAUAUAAGACAGAUGUGAAAUCCCCGGGCUCAACCUGGGAACUGCAUUUGUGACUGUAUAGCUAGAGUACGGCAGAGGGGGAUGGAAUUCCGCGUGUAGCAGUGAAAUGCGUAGAUAUGCGGAGGAACACCGAUGGCGAAGGCAAUCCCCUGGGCCUGUACUGACGCUCAUGCACGAAAGCGUGGGGAGCAAACAGGAUUAGAUACCCCUGUAGUCCCUGUCUCUUAUAC